RNAcentral lists this ribosomal RNA (898 nucleotides) under Enterococcus faecium. Its description in RNAcentral is "bacterial SSU rRNA". It matches the Rfam family "Bacterial small subunit ribosomal RNA", at positions 1 to 872 of the family's 1533-position model. Lineage: Bacteria; Bacillati; Bacillota; Bacilli; Lactobacillales; Enterococcaceae. The record is from RNAcentral.
UUAUGAGAGUUUGAUCCUGGCUCAGGACGAACGCUGGCGGCGUGCCUAAUACAUGCAAGUCGAACGCUUCUUUUUCCACCGGAGCUUGCUCCACCGGAAAAAGAAGAGUGGCGAACGGGUGAGUAACACGUGGGUAACCUGCCCAUCAGAAGGGGAUAACACUUGGAAACAGGUGCUAAUACCGUAUAACAAUCAAAACCGCAUGGUUUUGAUUUGAAAGGCGCUUUCGGGUGUCGCUGAUGGAUGGACCCGCGGUGCAUUAGCUAGUUGGUGAGGUAACGGCUCACCAAGGCCACGAUGCAUAGCCGACCUGAGAGGGUGAUCGGCCACAUUGGGACUGAGACACGGCCCAAACUCCUACGGGAGGCAGCAGUAGGGAAUCUUCGGCAAUGGACGAAAGUCUGACCGAGCAACGCCGCGUGAGUGAAGAAGGUUUUCGGAUCGUAAAACUCUGUUGUUAGAGAAGAACAAGGAUGAGAGUAACUGUUCAUCCCUUGACGGUAUCUAACCAGAAAGCCACGGCUAACUACGUGCCAGCAGCCGCGGUAAUACGUAGGUGGCAAGCGUUGUCCGGAUUUAUUGGGCGUAAAGCGAGCGCAGGCGGAUGGAUUGAAGAAAGAAGCCUUAGGAGGGAUUUAAGUGGAACACACAUGGAAAAUGGGAGACUUGAGUGCAGAAGAGGAGAGUGGAAUUCCAUGUGUAGCGGUGAAAUGCGUAGAUAUAUGGAGGAACACCAGUGGCGAAGGCGGCUCUCUGGUCUGUAACUGACGCUGAGGCUCGAAAGCGUGGGGAGCAAACAGGAUUAGAUACCCUGGUAGUCCACGCCGUAAACGAUGAGUGCUAAGUGUUGGAGGGUUUCCGCCCUUCAGUGCUGCAGCUAACGCAUUAAGCACGCCGC